This 253-nucleotide ribosomal RNA is filed under the name uncultured bacterium. RNAcentral describes it as "partial 16S ribosomal RNA". It matches the Rfam family "Bacterial small subunit ribosomal RNA", at positions 524 to 776 of the family's 1533-position model. The record is from RNAcentral.
UACGGAGGGUGCAAGCGUUAUCCGGAUUCACUGGGUUUAAAGGGUGCGUAGGCGGGUAAGUAAGUCCGUGGUGAAAUCUCUGAGCUUAACUCAGAAACUGCCGUGGACACUAUUUGCCUUGAAUAUUGUGGAGGUGAGCGGAAUAUGUCAUGUAGCGGUGAAAUGCUUAGAUAUGACAUAGAACACCAAUUGCGAAGGCAGCUCACUACACAAUCAUUGACGCUGAGGCACGAAAGCGUGGGGAUCAAACAGG